This 329-nucleotide ribosomal RNA is filed under the name uncultured eukaryote. RNAcentral's name for it is "partial 18S ribosomal RNA". It matches the Rfam family "Eukaryotic small subunit ribosomal RNA", at positions 1470 to 1796 of the family's 1831-position model. The record is from RNAcentral.
CCCUUAGAUGUCCUGGGCCGCACGCGCGCUACACUGAGUGUCUGAGAUACGAAUCUGCCUGGUCCGGCAAGGUCUAGGUAAUCGCUAAAAGACACAUCAUGCUUGGGAUAGAUUAUUGCAAAUAUUAAUCUUGAACGAGGAAUUCCUAGUAAGCGCAAGUCAACAGCUUGCGUUGAUUACGUCCCUGCCCUUUGUACACACCGCCCGUCGCUACUACUGAUUGGAUGUUUAAGCGAGGUUCUCGAACUGCUAGCGACUUAGCUUCGGUGAGGUCGCAGUGUGGGAAGUGAACCUAGCUUUGGUGUCUAGAGGAAGUAAAAGUCGUAACA